Molecule: RNA transcript, 1607 nt
Organism: Saccostrea cuccullata (small rock oyster)
Lineage: Eukaryota; Metazoa; Mollusca; Bivalvia; Ostreida; Ostreidae
Exons: 6
Source: RefSeq, a predicted model, not a curated record
GUUGACAGACGUUUUUAUACUAAUUGUUAGUCUUUUUACUCCUUUAUUUAUACUCUGAAUUGGCGCGGGAAUUUUCCUUUAUCUCCCGAUCAUGACAAGGAGCACACGGCGGGUGUGAAUGGUCGGCAGGGGAUGCUCACUCCUCCAUGCCACCUGAUCUCAUUUCUAAUGUUCUGGAGGUCCGUGUUUGUUCUGCUCUUAUUUUGUAUAGUGUUAUGGACUUUGAUAUUGAAGACUGUUCGUUAUCUCCAUGUCCUUCAUCCUUACGUCGCAGAUUCGAAUUCCACUGUGGGACCUUGAGACCGGUCAUCCGGAUGAGACCUUAUAAACCGAGGUUCUGUGUCGCAGUAUAUCUUGGCACUAAAAAGAUCCUUCCCUGUUCAAUGACCGCAAGAGCCGAGAAUAGGACAAAAAUUGCAGCUCUCCAUCGGCAAGUGGUGGCGUCUACAUACAUUGUAUGAGUGAAAAAUUCAACAUACAAACAAUCCCUUUGACUGCUGUUAAUACAAGUGUUUCUUUCCUGUCACUCGUUAUACUAUUGAUGACCAAUAAUAAUAUAUAUGUCCUUCUGUUUAGUAACUUGAAUUUAACCACCGAGGUUUUAAGAAAAGGCAUAUCCAGUUUUAAAUAAAAGGACUUUAAUCGGAAGUUCAUUUAGUUUGUUUGCAGAACAUAAGAACUCCAAUUUUACAAAAGGAAGUAAGUUUACCUUUAAUCCUCACUCAGGGCCAUUGAGCAAUGAGGGAUAUUGCGUCGGGCCUCGGGUUUAAAGGCCUCUUCCGAAGGACCCUCAACAUAUAAUACUUCAAAGUGCCGUUCUGUUGGCAAACGAGAAAUUGUUGUCUUUUUUUCGACUAUGUUCAAAAGUAAAUCCUGCUGACAACCCGUUUCCCACUUAACCUUCCAAUUACCAAUAAAGGAAUUGGUGCGACGAGAAUAUGGAGCGUCCGGCAGUCUUGCUCAUUGCAUUGGUGAUAUUAAUUUGCGCAGUCAUCCUUCAGUUAUUCGGCCUAGCCUCACCAUAUUGGAUUUCUAACGAGAAUUCAAUAGAUCCAGAAAAACAUUCAGCAACGUACGCUGGUUUGUGGAAAAUGUGUACAUGUAAAGAUACUGGCGAUUACCUACAGAAUGAUAUAGAUAUCUCAAACAGCCAGUUGCGCACUAAAUCUUCUCAAACUAUGAGUAUCCUGGGCUUCGUUGCACUCAUGUUUGCUUCAGGGUUGACAAUCUUAAAGUUAUGUUUUCUUAAGCAUAUGAAACCACUACUAAUUGUGUCCAGUAUUUCAGCUUUUGUUGGAGCUUUCUUCAUUGCAGUUUCCAUUCUACUGUUUGCAGCUGACGUCAAUAAUGCGAAGCUACUAUACAGAUAUGAAUUUCAUUUUGCUUUUGCCUUCUCCAUUCUGGCAAUGAUAAUAGCUUUUGUGUCUGGGGGUUUUAUGAUCCUAGAAAUACCAAAGUAAGCUACACAAGAAAUCCAAGAAACAGAUCAAGAAAUAAAGUGAUUUCCUGAAUAUACAAGCUUUUUCUUUUGUCUAAAAAUGAUGGCGUGUUUGAACAGUUAUAUUUGUAAUAUCUAAAUAAAUUCGUGAAAUUUUAGAAAAUCUAUU